AGAGUUUGAUCCUGGCUCAGAACGAACGCUGGCGGCGUGCUUAAUACAUGCAAGUCGAACGAGAAAGUCCCUUCGGGGAUGAGUACAGUGGCAGACGGGUGAGUAAUGCAUAGGUAACCUGCCUCCGAGAUGGGGACAACCUUCCGAAAGGAGGGCUAAUACCGAAUGACACCACCGCUACAUAAGUAGCGGGGGUCAAAGGUGGCCUCUACUUGUAAGCUAUCGCUCGGAGAUGGGCUUAUGUGCCAUUAGUUUGUUGGUAGGGUAACGGCCUACCAAGGCGACGAUGGCUAGCUGAUCUGAGAGGUUGAUCAGCCACACUGGAACUGAGACACGGUCCAGACUUCUACGGAAGGCAGCAGUAGGGAAUUUUGCGCAAUGGAGGAAACUCUGACGCAGCGACGCCGUGUGAGUGAUGAAGGCUUUCGGGUCGUAAAGCUCUGUCAGAAGGGAAGAAUGACAAUCUGGCUAAUAUCCAGGUUGAGUGACGGUACCUUCAAAGGAAGCACCGGCUAACUACGUGCCAGCAGCCGCGGUAAUACGUAGGGUGCUAGCGUUGUUCGGAAUUAUUGGGCGUAAAGCGCGUGUAGGUGGCUUGUUAAGUCGGGUGUGAAAGCCCAGGGCUCAACCCUGGAAGGGCAUCC
Molecule: ribosomal RNA, 644 nt
Filed under: uncultured bacterium
Lineage: Bacteria
Description: bacterial SSU rRNA
Rfam family: Bacterial small subunit ribosomal RNA
Source: RNAcentral